Molecule: ribosomal RNA, 497 nt
Filed under: uncultured bacterium
Lineage: Bacteria
Description: partial 16S ribosomal RNA
Rfam family: Bacterial small subunit ribosomal RNA
Source: RNAcentral
GAUGAACGCUGGCGGCGUGCCUAAUACAUGCAAGUCGAGCGAACAGACGAGGAGCUUGCUCCUCUGACGUUAGCGGCGGACGGGUGAGUAACACGUGGAUAACCUACCUCUAAGACUGGGAUAACUUCGGGAAACCGGAGCUACUACCGGCGAAUAUAUUGAACCGCAUGGAUCAAUAGAGAAAGGCGGUUUUGCCGUUACUUAUAGAUGGAUCCGCGCCGGAUUGGCGGCUUGGUAAGGUAACGGCAAACCAAGGAAACGAUGCGUAUCCGACCUGAUGGGGUGAUCCGCCACACCUGAACCGAGACACGGUCCAGACUCCCACGGGAGGCAGCCGUAGGGAAUCUUCCGCAAUUGGCGGAAGCCUUACGCCGCAACGCCGCGUGAGUGAUGGAGGUCUUCCGAUCGUUAAACUCUUUUAUUAGGGAAAAACAAGUGUGUAAGUAACUAUCCACGUCUCUACGGUUCCCAAUAAGAUAGGCACCGCUAACUUCGGG